This 424-nucleotide ribosomal RNA is filed under the name uncultured bacterium. Its description in RNAcentral is "partial 16S ribosomal RNA". It matches the Rfam family "Bacterial small subunit ribosomal RNA", at positions 359 to 775 of the family's 1533-position model. The record is from RNAcentral.
GAAUAUUGGAUAAUGGGCGAAAGCCUGAUCCAGCCAUGCCGCGUGUGUGAAGAAGGUCUUCGGAUUGUAAAGCACUUUUAGUUCGGAGGAAGGGCAGUAAGCGAUUACCUUGCUGUUUUGACGUUACCGACACGAUAAGCCGCGGUUAAGUCGAUGCCUGCAGCCGCGGUAAUACAGAGGGUGCAAGCGUUAAUCGGAAUUACUGGGCGUAAAGGGCGCGUAGUUGGUUCGUUAAGUUGGAUGUGAAAUCCCCGGGCUCAACCUGGGAACUGUAUCCAAAACUGGCGAGCUAGAGUAGGGCAGAGGGUGGUGGAAUUUCCUGUGUAGCGGUGAAAUGCGUAGAUAUAGGAAGGAACACCAGUGGCGAAGGCGACCACCUGGGCUCAUACUGACACUGAGGUGCGAAAGCGUGGGGAGCAAACAG